UACGUAGGGUGCAAGCGUUGUCCGGAAUUAUUGGGCGUAAAGAGCUCGUAGGCGGUUUGUCGCGUCUGCUGUGAAAACUCGGGGCUUAACCCCGGGCCUGCAGUCGAUACGGGCAGGCUAGAGUCCGGCAGGGGAGACUGGAAUUCCUGGUGUAGCGGUGAAAUGCGCAGAUAUCAGGAGGAACACCGAUGCGAAGGCAGAUCUCUGGGCCGAUACUGACGUGAGGAGCGAAAGCGUGGGGAGCGAACAGG
Molecule: ribosomal RNA, 251 nt
Filed under: uncultured bacterium
Lineage: Bacteria
Description: partial 16S ribosomal RNA
Rfam family: Bacterial small subunit ribosomal RNA
Source: RNAcentral